CCCAUCGUGGGUGGCAGCGUGGGGUGGUCACUUUCAUUUUCCUUUGCCUUUGUCCUCCUUUAAGGCGACCCCCUCCCCCAUUGCCCUUCAACCCGCUACAAUGGUUUACCCUUUUCCUUCUAAAAGGAGCGCACUCAGUUGUGCAAGAAGCUACACUGAAAUGAUGUGGGAUAGAGGAACAUUUCCUGGGGACAACUUUGGGCUUGGACAGUCAUCAGGGAUAACAGACUUCUCCCUGGAAGGACAGACAGGACAGAGCCCCAACCUCGGUGACUGGCAGCCAGCAGAGCAAGCAUGUUUGCUUCUGAUCGGCGACACCGACUGAGAGAGCCUACCCGUAGUGCCCCGCUUCUCUGCCUCCUCACUUUCCCUCUGGAAAGGCCAGUGGCCUCUGCCUAGAUCAGAAGAGAUCUGCGCUCAUUCCCCCACUGUAAGUAGUGACUUGGUGAAUAAAAACCAGGGUUCAUGGUUUAACUGA
Molecule: long non-coding RNA, 478 nt
Organism: Mastomys coucha (southern multimammate mouse)
Lineage: Eukaryota; Metazoa; Chordata; Mammalia; Rodentia; Muridae
Exons: 2
Source: RefSeq, a predicted model, not a curated record